GAUGAACGCUGGCGGCGUGCUUAACACAUGCAAGUCGAACGGAAAGACCCUACCUUUGUGGGGUGAACGAGUGGCGAACGGGUGAGUAACACGUAAGCAACCUGCCCUUGACUUUGGGGUAAAUUCAGGAAACUGGGGAUAAAACCCGAUAGGAUAUCCUGAAGCAUGGUGGGGAUUGGAAAGUUUCGGCGGUUGGGGUUGGACUCGCGGUUUAGCAGCAGGUUGGUGGGGAAGUGGCUUACCAAGAAUACGAUGGGUCGUCGGCCUGAGAGGGGGACCGGGCACCUGGGGACUGAGAUACGGGCCAGACUCCUACGGGAGGCAGCGGUGGGGAAGAUUGCACAAUCGGCCGAAGCCGGGUGCGGCAACGCCGCGUUCGGGAUGUCGGGCUUCGGGUUAAGAACCGCUUUCGCCUGAGACGAUGCGUGAGUGACGGUAACGUAUAAAGAAGCACCGGCUAACUACGUG
RNAcentral lists this ribosomal RNA (468 nucleotides) under uncultured bacterium. RNAcentral's name for it is "partial 16S ribosomal RNA". It matches the Rfam family "Bacterial small subunit ribosomal RNA", at positions 28 to 507 of the family's 1533-position model. The record is from RNAcentral.